This 253-nucleotide ribosomal RNA is filed under the name uncultured bacterium. RNAcentral's name for it is "partial 16S ribosomal RNA". It matches the Rfam family "Bacterial small subunit ribosomal RNA", at positions 524 to 776 of the family's 1533-position model. The record is from RNAcentral.
GACGUAGGGCGCGAGCGUUGUCCGGAUUUAUUGGGCGUAAAGAGCUCGUAGGCGGCUUGUCGCGUCGUCUGUGAAAUCCCACGGCUCAACUGUGGGCUUGCAGUCGAUACGGGCAGGCUGGAGUUCGGUAGGGGAGACUGGAAUUCCUGGUGUAGCGGUGAAAUGCGCAGAUAUCGGGAGGAACACCAAUGGCGAAGGCAGCUCGCUGGGACGUUACUGACGCUGAGACGCGAAAGCGUGGGGAGCAAACAGG